GGGCGUAGGAAAUUUGAGAGGAGCUGUCCUUAGUACGAGAGGACCGGGAUGGACACACCGCUGGUGUACCAGUUGUUCUGCCAAGAGCAUCGCUGGGUAGCUAUGUGUGGACGGGAUAAGUGCUGAAAGCAUCUAAGCACGAAGCCCCCCUCAAGAUGAGAUUUCCCAUUACGCAAGUAAGUAAGAUCCCUCAAAGACGAUGAGGUAGAUAGGUUCGGGGUGGAAGCGUGGCGACACGUGCAGCUGACGAAUACUAAUCGAUCGAGGACUUAACCAA
This 277-nucleotide ribosomal RNA is filed under the name Paenisporosarcina quisquiliarum. RNAcentral's name for it is "partial 23S rRNA. Bacterial LSU". It matches the Rfam family "Bacterial large subunit ribosomal RNA", at positions 2649 to 2925 of the family's 2925-position model. Lineage: Bacteria; Bacillati; Bacillota; Bacilli; Caryophanales; Caryophanaceae. The record is from RNAcentral.